UGAGGAAUAUUGGUCAAUGGGGGCAACCCUGAACCAGCCAAGUCGCGUGAAGGAUGAAGGUCUUAUGGAUUGUAAACUUCUUUUAUACAGGAAUAAAUUGGGGGACGUGUCCCCUUUUGCAUGUACUGUAUGAAUAAGGAUCGGCUAACUCCGUGCCAGCAGCCGCGGUAAUACGGAGGAUCCGAGCGUUAUCCGGCUUUAUUGGGUUUAAAGGGUGCGCAGGCGGGAUGUUAAGUCGGCGGUGAAAUUUUGCAGCUCAACUGUAAAAUUGCCUUCGAUACUGGCCUCCUUGAGUGUGGAUGAAGUAGGCGGAAUUUGUGGUGUGGCGGUGAAAUGCUUAGAUAUCACGAGCAACUCAGAUUGCGCAGGCAGCUUACUAAGCCACAACUGACGCUCAUGCACGAAGGCGUGGGGAUCAAACA
Molecule: ribosomal RNA, 422 nt
Filed under: uncultured bacterium
Lineage: Bacteria
Description: bacterial SSU rRNA
Rfam family: Bacterial small subunit ribosomal RNA
Source: RNAcentral